UUUAUUGAAACUGUGUAGAUUGUCUUUUCUCGCGGUCUUCUUGUGGAUUUUUGUUUUACUCACUAGUUCGUAUACCCGUUGAAGUAACAUGAUCAACAAAACACGUUUGAUAGAACAAUAAAAGAAAAGAAAUACGAAGUGAAGUGAAACGAAUUGAAGUGAAAAGGCGAUAAUGAAGUUUAAGAACAAAGGAACCAUCAUUACUGUGCACUAAAAGCUUGGAAGAAGUAAAUUAAUCGAUUGUUGUGUCCAAUACGUUUGAAUUUACUCCCUUUCAAGUGUCAUAUCAAGAAAAGUACUUCAAAAAUUAAGUGGGCCAUGUUCAGGACUCCAGAAAAGGGCUGGAUUAAAUUGACAUUCGAGUGGGCCAGGAAUGAACUACCACUUUUUUGCUACUUACUAGGGUUGCUGAUUAUAAAAGUGAUGCAGUCAAUCCUGCUUGUAAAGCUCCAUCAAAGUAUUUCAGCUGAAAAUCGGUUUACGGAAGUCCCAGUGGAUUGAUAGGAUAAUCAUUAUACUAUUGAGAGGUAAUAAAAGAAGCAGUUUCAAUGAUUCAACGAUAAAAUGGGCAAGUCUAAGGUGAUCUAAGGGAUUUAACAUUGAUCAGAGGGGGACGUUCCUUGGAGAUGCAUCAAUAGCAGUGAUAGAGAAUCAAGGACGAUAUCAGAUGAUGGAUAAAACGUCCACCAGGGUCUUGGGUCAUGGUCAGUAGCAACGGGAAAUUCUAGAGAUCGACUGAUCUUCAAAUACUCGUGGAAAUGUCACUCCAGAUACUGAAUUUAUGAGUUGAAUUAAGGAAAAACCCAAAGCAGCAUUUUGCAGAUGUCAAAACUACCUAGACAUUCAACCUUUCGCUUGGAUUUCCUCAUCGUUACCAGAAUUCAAAAUACAUCUACUUUUAUUUAUCACUAUCCUAUUGAUCGUUAUCAUCCUGCUUUACGAAAAUAAUCAAGUAAAUCAAUUGAAUACAAUUCAAUGUAAGAAUAACGUCGAAGUUCCAGACUCAUUGAUUUAUAGUUUUCUCCAAAGUUCUUGACAUCUGUUCCAGUAUUAUUGGAUCGAGAACGUGCCUUAAUCUUGAAGAUAAUUUAAUACAUGAAGUCGAUGUACUACUUGUGGUCACUUGGUGGACUUUGAUAAUGUCAAUAAAAAAUGAUUCACAAUGAAAUAAGUACUGAUGAUAACGAUGAUUUACUGAUUAAAUUGUUAUCAAUUGAACUCAUCAAAUCUCAUGAUGAUGAUGAUAAUAUAUUAUCAGUGUUUCAAUUCUGUUAAAUACAGAUUUAUCAGAUAGAUGAAUUCAAUUGAAAUCAUUAGAUUGAGUUAAGAAUAAACAAGAAGAUGAUUUAACUAUGUAUUAAUAUUAAAGCUGAUCCUGAAACGCAAACCUUAUAUACAUAUAUGGAAGGCUUACUUUUCCAAUUAGUAAUAAUUUGGGAGUUACAAUAGAUACAAUUGAUUUUAUAAAUUCUGUAUUACUGAAUUAAGUUCAUGUAUCAUUCAAGUAGCGAUAGUACUAAUAAAGUGAUGAAGUGAUUGAAUCAACAUCGCAUAUCCAUGAAACAAAUCACGCACCAACAGACUAACAUGAAAUUUCUAAAGGUUUUAAUGCCAGUAAACAAAUACACAUGCUGUUGAGAAGAUGGAAUUGAGCUGCAGAAUGUCGGUUAUAAGGUGACGCAAAGGAAAAAGCCUAUUUUUCAACGUUGAACAUAAAAAUAAGGUCAUAUGCAUGUUAUAUUGCUCGUUUUACAGUCCAACUUCUAUUCUUUCAAGCAACAACGGUAUACUGUUUUUCACUGUUACCGGAGUCUUAGCAUUAUUCAGCUUGUUAUAAUGAUGUGAUGAGUUUUUCUCUUUUUUUAUGACUAAAUGAAAAUGAAAAUCUAAAAAAAACUACAAUAUUAAAAAGAGCAAUUGCUUUAGUACGUGAAUACUUUUUUCUGUUACUUCUCAUUACAAGGAGAUAUUAAAAUAUUUUUUAUUGGUUAUGAAGUCGUAUAAUAAACCGUAGUAUUCCACAAAACAAGACACAUAAAUUUUAUCACUAGAAUAGUUAAUAAAUUUUAAUUAAAAUCAUUUGAUGUUAUGAACAACAAGACAAAAAAUUCAAUAAUAUUCAUAGACAUCGACCGCUCGUCUUGGAGAAGGUAUAAAUGACCAAAAAGCUUUCUGACCGUCUGUUUCACAAAGGCUGUAUGUUAAAAAACUUUAAUCGCCUUACUCACAGAAAUCAUAUCUGUCAAAAAAACCCUGGCCGUCAGUCAGUGGCUUGUUAUUAUUGCCAACAACACUUCUCCUUUUAAAUGAAAUUAAGAUGAAGUUCUCGACAUGUUUUUCUUACUUCUUUAAAAAAAAGUACUUUACAUUAAAGUUUCCAUCGAAAUAAAUGAUAAAUUAUCAUGUUGGAGUACUGUGGAGUAGUCUCUUUAAUUAAUCCAUGGUCAUAAGAACAUACAGACACUUUUUUUUUUAUUUUUUGUGAAUUAUUGUUUUAAGAAUUUUUUUACUUGCUAAUGAGAAGUA
This is a long non-coding RNA of Chelonus insularis, 2526 nucleotides long. RefSeq lists it as uncharacterized. The record is from RefSeq and is a predicted model, not a curated record. The transcript is spliced from 7 exons. NCBI's taxonomy places the organism in Eukaryota, Metazoa, Arthropoda, Insecta, Hymenoptera, Braconidae.